This is a long non-coding RNA of Tympanuchus pallidicinctus (lesser prairie-chicken), 498 nucleotides long. RefSeq lists it as uncharacterized. NCBI's taxonomy places the organism in Eukaryota, Metazoa, Chordata, Aves, Galliformes, Phasianidae. The record is from RefSeq and is a predicted model, not a curated record. The transcript has 3 exons.
GGCUGUGCACCUCUGUGGCCUUAAAGCAUGGACAAAGGUCAUAAAUCUGAUCUUUACCAUGAAUGACAGCAUGACCAGGAAAAACUGUAGCCCUGAAACUGACCUUCAAGCAAUCUUGGGAGCUGUGGUCCUUCUGCAGCCAGCUGACUGUGCUAUACCUUCAAGCCAUUCUUACCAUUCAGCCUCUGGAAUCUGGAGAUCACCAGAGGGACUGAGGAGUGUCACUGAGCUGUAAAAGCUAAGCAAGAAAACUGAAAAUAUACUGCUCCUGUUCUGUUUUGCCAUAAGACUGCUAGCUACUGGAUGACACAGAAACAGCUGCUAAAUGGAACGCCUUGCAAGGCUGACCCUUCUCAGUUAUCUUGCAGGCUUGAGAUAUGAAAGUGACCACAUGUUGCAAUUUCAGACUGGAUUGGAUCCAGUGGGAAAAUGUUUAGACAGAAUACUGCACCAAACAACACUCCUGAGAGCUGUGCCCGUGGUGAGCCUGUAACAGAA